AACGAACGCUGGCGGCGUGCCUAACACAUGCAAGUCGAGCGAGAAAGUCCCGGCAACGGGAUGAGUAAAGCGGCAAACGGGUGAGUAACGCGUGGGUAAUCUACCCUACGGAUCGGGAUAACCUGCCGAAAGGUGGACUAAUACCGGAUGAUGUUCUCGCGGUGAUUCCGUGGGAACCAAAGGGGGCGAGCGUAAGCAGCUCUCACCGAAGGAGGAGCCUGCGUCCGAUUAGCUAGUUGGUGGGGUAAUGGCCUACCAAGGCGACGAUCGGUAGCCGGCCUGAGAGGGCGAUCGGCCACACUGGAACUGAGACACGGUCCAGACUCCUACGGGAGGCAGCAGUGGGGAAUAUUGCGCAAUGGGCGAAAGCCUGACGCAGCGACGCCGCGUGGGUGAUGAAGGCCUUCGAGUCGUAAAGCCCUGUCUGGUGGAACGAAACGCCUGGCGGCCAAUACCCGCCGGGUUUGACGGUACCACCGAAGGAAGCCCCGGCUAACUACGUGCCAGCAGCCGCGGUAAGACGUAGGGGGCGAGCGUUGUUCGGAUUUACUGGGCGUAAAGCGCGCGUAGGCGGCCAGAUAAGUCGGGUGUGAAAGCCCUCGGCUCAACCGAGGUUCCGCAUCCGAUACUGCUUGGCUGGAGUCUAGGAGAGGAGAGCGGAAUUCCCAGUGUAGCGGUGAAAUGCGUAGAUAUUGGGAGGAACACCCGUGGCGAAGGCGGCUCUCUGGACUAGUACUGACGCUGAGGCGCGAAAGCUAGGGGAGCGAACGGGAUUAGAUACCCCGGUAGUCCUAGCCGUAAACGAUGGGCACUAGGUGUGGGAGGUAUUGACCCCUUCCGCGCCGAAGCUAACGCAUUAAGUGCCCCGCCUGGGGAGUACGGCCGCAAGGCUAAAACUCAAAGGAAUUGACGGGGGCCCGCACAAGCGGUGGAGCAUGUGGUUCAAUUCGACGCAACGCGAAGAACCUUACCAGGGCUUGACAUCCCACGAACCUGCCUGAAAGGGCGGGGUGCC
RNAcentral lists this ribosomal RNA (1015 nucleotides) under uncultured bacterium. RNAcentral describes it as "bacterial SSU rRNA". It matches the Rfam family "Bacterial small subunit ribosomal RNA", at positions 28 to 1018 of the family's 1533-position model. The record is from RNAcentral.